GAUGAAGAACGUAGUGAAAUGCGAUAAGUAAUGUGAAUUGCAGAAUUCAGUGAAUCAUCGAAUCUUUGAACGCACCUUGCACCCUUUGGCUAUUCCGAAGGGUAUGCCUGUUUGAGUAUCAUGAACACCUCAACUCUCAUGGUUUGCCAUGAUGAGCUUGGACUUUGGGGGUCUUGCUGGCCUGUGGUCAGCUCCUCUCAAAUGGAUUAGCUUGCCAGUGUUUGGUGGCAUCACAGGUGUGAUAACUAUCUACGCUUGUGGUUUUCCACCAGGUAACCUUCAGCAAUGGGGGUUCGCUGGGGCUCAUAAAUGUCUCUCCUCAGUGAGGACAGCUCUUUGAACGUUUGAUCUCAAAUCAGGUAGGACUACCCGCUGAACUUAAGCAUAUCAAUAAGCGGAGGA
Molecule: unclassified non-coding RNA, 402 nt
Filed under: soil metagenome
Description: partial contains 5.8S ribosomal RNA, internal transcribed spacer 2, and large subunit ribosomal RNA
Rfam family: 5.8S ribosomal RNA (bases 1-121)
Source: RNAcentral